CAGCAUUUAUAAUGCAUUUAAUACUUACAGCUAAAACAGAGAUCUGACUGGAAAAUACAAGGAAUAUGGUGAGAUGCCCCAGAAGUUAUCCUGGGCAUGAACAGCAUCAUGAGCUGUGCAACUCAAGCCUUGAGUGUUCUGCUUUCUUCUGGGACCUCUGCUAGGAGUGCAACACCUGAUCCCCUCCCCAGAGUGCUCCAGGAAUGGAUUUCCAGCUGCGCUGAGCACCAACAGAUCCACUCCAUUCCAGCUGGAGUUGGAGCUUCUGAUGUGUUUUGUGCCGCUCUGACAUCAACAGCAACAAACAAGACAAGGAGAGAGAGAGAAAGAAACAC
This is a long non-coding RNA of Mauremys mutica (yellowpond turtle), 335 nucleotides long. RefSeq lists it as uncharacterized. The transcript has 3 exons. The record is from RefSeq and is a predicted model, not a curated record. NCBI's taxonomy places the organism in Eukaryota, Metazoa, Chordata, Testudines, Geoemydidae.